CAUAGCGACUAUCGUGGCAUAUCAAUAAGCGGAGGAAAAGAAACUAACAAGGAUUCCCUUAGUAACGGCGAGUGAAGCGGGAAGAGCUCAAAUUUGAAAUCUUCAAGGUUCUACCUUGACGAAUUGUAGUUUAUAGAAGUGUUUUCUGUUAGUAGAGUGGCAAAAGUUCUUUGGAAUAGGACAUCAUAGAGGGUGAGAAUCCCGUAUUUGGUCAUUCCUUCCUAGCGUUGUGAUACACUUUCAACGAGUCGGAUUGUUUGGGAAUGCAGUCCAAAAUGGGUGGUAAAUUUCAUCUAAAGCUAAAUAUUGGCGAGAGACCGAUAGCGAACAAGUACCGUGAGGGAAAGAUGAAAAGAACUUUGAAAAGAGAGUUAAACAGUACGUGAAAUUGUCAAAAGGGAAGCGUUUGACACCAGUGUUGUUUUUCCGAAAAUCAAUUACGAAUGUUUUAUUUUUGAGGAGUUAUGACUUCAUCGGCUUGCUUCUCUCUUUAUGAAACUUUCUUAAUGCACUUUUCGGUUAACAAGUCAACAUCAAUUUCUUUUGUUGUAAAAGGGUAUGAGGAAGGUGGCUUUCUUUUCGGAGAAAGUGUUUAUAGCCUUGUACCUCUGCAAUCGGAGAGAUUGAGGUCUGCAGCGUAGAUCCUUCGGGGUUAGAUACAGUUUGUGCUAAGUUAUAGCUUGUCAUAGACAACUUGUUGACUAUGUUAAGUCAUCGUAGCUUACUCGCUUAUGCUAUUUUACCUACGCUUAGGAUGUUGAUAGUCACAGCGUGUAC
RNAcentral lists this ribosomal RNA (777 nucleotides) under uncultured Neocallimastigales. RNAcentral's name for it is "partial large subunit ribosomal RNA". It matches the Rfam family "Eukaryotic large subunit ribosomal RNA", at positions 22 to 644 of the family's 3401-position model. Lineage: Eukaryota; Fungi; Neocallimastigomycota; Neocallimastigomycetes; Neocallimastigales. The record is from RNAcentral.